CACAGAUGCAACAGUUAUUUUUGCAAAUCAUAAAUUGUUACACUUAAAAAAAAUAUUAACACUUGAGAUGACGGAAAUCAUUGUGGUGUGCCACGAAGAUGUGAAAAAAUAGGCAUAAAUCUAGCUUACAAAUUAUUCAGGCUAAUUGUAGUAAUUAAGGAUCAGACCUGUUUGAGGUCAUAUAUGUAUAUAAGGACAUCUGACAAAUUGGUUUGUCCGUCAAGAACCAGGAAAAAAAAUCGAUGAAACAAUUGUGGCUAUUUCCUCCCACGCCUGUUUAACCGACGCUAUUUUGGGUGGGUUUCUCCCAUCCCCAUACAACACAACUUCUCUGUCUUUCACUGCUCUUACAAGAACAUCAGUCUCCUCGGCUGUGAACCGCUCCUGGCGUGCGCCUGGUAAAUACGCCAUAAUAAUAGCAAUCCAUAAUGGAACUUGCGCACCUGCUUUUAAAGGGAAUGUUGGAUGACGCUCUGAUUGGUUUAUUUCACGUUACGCCCAAACCACACCUAUGAAUAAUGAAGCUACUUCAGACCAACCCAUUUUAGAUUUGCGCCGGGCGCAAGAGCCAUUUAUCCCGCCGGGAAAAUAGCAACAGCGCCGAGACCCGCCCACAAACUUACUUGCGCUUCGCGCUUUGACACUUGCGUUUCAGAUCGUUAAAAUAGGGCCCAAUAUGUCCCUACCAAAAACGGUGUAAACAAGGCGAUUGAUGACAUCAACACAAUAUUCCAUAAGGCAGCUAUCAGAGCUGACCUCAUAAAACAGAAACAGAAGCCUAUUAGAAGGCAAAAUGAUGAGAAAUGGUUUGAUAAAGAAUGCAAGACCAUCAGAAAGGACCUUAGAAAUAUAGCAAAUGAAAAACACCGCCAACCAAACAACCCUGCCUUACGCAUUAGAUACAAUGACAUUUUAAAUAAAUACAAAUGUACAAUUAGGAACAAAAAACAAAAUUAUACCCACAUGAAACUUGAAGAUAUUGAAAACUCCAUUGACCAAAAUCAAUUCUGGAAUAUGUGGAACAAGUUCAACACAAAACUACAACAGACAUUACCCAUGCAAAAUGGUGAUAUCUGGAAAGCACAUUUUGAAAACCUCUACAAAGACAUACCAAUUAAACAAAUUAGACCAGAACAAAAUAUUAUAAAAGAAAAACUCCAAACAUUAGAACAAACAAUUAAAGACAAUCAAAACCCUCUUGAUUCUCCAAUUACUUGGGAAGAAUUGAUCACACAGACAAAAUCUCUCCAGUCGAGGAAAGCUUGUGGUCCAGACAGAAUUAAAAACGAGAUGCUGAAAUGCAGCACCCCAGAGGCUGCAGUGUUAAAGCUGUUCUACAGUCAGGAUGUUUCCCGGACAUUUGGUGCAAAGGACUCAUUUCCCCCAUUCAUAAGAGUGGGGACAAAUCAGACCCUAAUAACUACAGUGGCCUCUCUGUCAGCAGCUGUCUAGGCAAAUUAUUCUGUAGCAUUCUGAAUAAAAGAAUGCUAGAUUUCAUUGAGGAACACUCCAUCUUAAGUAAAAGUCAGAUUGGCUUCCUCCUAAAACACCGCACCACUGAUCAUAUAUAUACCCUUCACACCUUAAUUAAUAAACAUGUACACCUAAAACUAAAAAUGGUAAAAUAUUCUCUUGUUUCAUUGAUUUCAGAAAAGCUUCUGAUUCUAUUUGGCAUGAAGGUCUCUUUUACAGACUUCUACAGUGUGGUAUAGGGGGCAAAAUGUAUGAUCUAGUUAAAUCUAUGUAUUUAGAAAAUACGUGUGCUGUUAAAAUUGUUAACAAACAAACAGAUUUUUUCACCCAGAGAAGAGGUGUUCGGCAGGGUUGCAAUUUAAGUCCAACAUUAUUUAAUAUUUACAUCAAUGAGCUUGCUGUUGAGUUAGAUCAAUGUGCUGCUCCUGGCCUCUCCCUUCUAGAUAGAGAGGUGAAGUCCCUGUUUUAUGCUAAGGAUCUCGUUCUAAUGUCCCCUACUAAACAAUGAUUACAGCAACAGCUGGACAUAGUAGAAAAAUACUGUCAGAACUGGGCUCUGGCUGUAAAUAUGAAGAAAACUAAUAUCAUGAUCUUCCCAAAACACCCAAGAUGUCAGGAGAACAAACAUCAAUUCACCAUUAAUAAUGGUGUCAUUGAACACAGCAUGAGCUAUACCUACCUUGGUAAAACCAUAUCAGCAUCAGGGAGUUUCAACAUGGCAGUGAAUGCACUAAAAGAAAAAGCUCGAAGAGCUAUACAUGCAAUUAAGAGAACAUUUUAUAAUUUCCAAAUUCCAAUUAAAAUCUGGCUUAAAAUAUUUGACAGUGUCAUCCAGCCCAUUGCGCUGUACGGUAGUGAAAUAUGGGGUCCACUCAGUCAUCAGAGCUACACCCGUUGGGACAAACACCCAACAGAAUCUCUUCAUGCAGAAUUUUGCUGAUACAUUUUACACGUACACAGAAACACACCAACAAAAGCCCCUUUGAAUUGAAUUUAAUUGAAAGUGAGAGAGAGAGAGAGAGAGAGAGAGAGAGAGCAUGGGUUAUUAAAGUCAUAUGCUUGUUGAGUGUCUAUGUUUAUUGUUUUUACAGUAGACUGUAUGGGUCUUUGAAAUAACAGUAGUUUACUGAACUGAUGUGGAACUGUAAUGAGCUCAACACCUGGAAUUACUUCAUUUCCAUGCAGUUUCUUAAUAAGUUAUGUUCUAUUAUGAAGAUAAUUAAAUAUACAACAGCACAACCAUGUUAAAAGCUGUAACAAUAACAAACACUUACCUAAAUGUAGACCUUAUAACCACUGACCAUAUGAAGUUCACUAACUCAAAGUUAUUUAAAGACACACAUACCUUGAUGUUCACAGCAGUGUUUCCAGUGUUAUGAGCUCAAGCAGUCUUCAGUACACAGACACCUGAACACAACACAGGUUAUAUAUGAUGUUCUGGGUGUGAAUAGUGGCAAGCCUAUCGUGUCAUUCAUGCUAUUCUACAAAUAUUCUCUUUACAAUAUUUCAUUGAUUACUGAUGAUGCUGCCCAUUGUUGAUCAGGAUGAGCCAGUUCAGGAAUCUGAUCUGUUUGCUUUCUUUGUUUCCUCAUCAUUCUCACAUAACCAUAACAUCUAUCAUCUAUGAUCUUCAGUCAGUAGCAGCGGAUGAAUAUGUUUGGUGUAGAUUUGUUGUCACUAAUAUAUGCUGUCAUUGAAUGAAAGGACGGAUGAGUUUAAUUCACACCCGGGCUAAAACUACAGUUUUCUCAGCCAAAUAGUAUUUACAAUUAUUUUUGAUAAUCAUGACCUUUCUUGUUGUUAAGUGUGUCUUUGUAGUCAUUUCUCCUGUAAUAGAAUAUAACUGUUACAAUAGGACAUUUUAUUUAAUUUACAAAUUGCAAUUUAAUACUUUAAUGUCUUGCAAAACUCAUAAUUUUGUGUGUAUUUUGCCUCUUUAGCACAGUGUUGGGAAGGUUACUUCGGAAAUGUAAUCAGUUACAGAUUACAAGCUAUUUCAAUUUAGUGUAACUAUUUCAAUUACUUUAUUAAAGUAAUAAGAUGAUUUUUGAUAACUUCUCUAAUUUCCAGCACUGGUGCAGAUUUGUAUCACUCUUAGAUAGACUGUAGCCUAAAGACCCGAUCAAAAGCAUCAGAAUGUCUUCGCUUUUCUAAACGGCCUUUUAAUGGCAGAAAACACAUCAAAAACACAUCAACAAAUUAGUAGUACAUUUAUUCAUUUAGCAGAUGCUUUUAUCCAAAGCGACUAAUAAAUGAGAACAAUAGAAGCUGUUAAACUAACAGUAGAACAACAAAAUGUCAGUGCUAUGACCCUUCGCAGUUCAAUCUAACGCAGUACAUGUGUUUUAUUUAUUUAUUAAUUUUUAUAAAUAGAAUAGAAGAUAAAGUGUUAGUAUUCAUGGAUCAAGUGUUGCCGAAAAAGAUGCAUCUUCAGCUGCUUCUUGAAAAUGGCUACGGACUCAGCAGCUCUUGUUGAGUUAGGCAGAUCAUUCCUCCAGCAGGGAACAGUCCAGGUAAAGGUCAGAGGUCAUUCUUCCAGCAGGAACAGUCCAGGUAAAGGUAAGAGGUCAUUCCUCCAGCAGGGAACAGUCCAGGUAAAGGUCAGAGGUCAUUCCACCAGCAGGGAACAGUCCAGGUAAAGGCCAGAGGUCAUUCCUCCAACAGGGAACAGUCCAGGUAAAGGUCCGAGGUCAUUCCUCCAGCAGUGAACAGUCCAGGUAAAGGUCAGAGGUCAUUCCUCCAGCAGGGAACAGUCCAGGUAAAGGUCAGAGGUCAUUCCUCCAGCAGGGAACAGUCUAGGUAAAGGUCAGAGGUCAUUCCUCCAGCAGUGAACAGUCCAGGUAAAGGUCAGAGAUCAUUCCUCCAGCAGGGAACAGUCCAGGUAAAGGUCAGAGGUCAUUCCUCCAGCAGGGAACAGUCCAGGUAAAGGUCAGAGAUCAUUCCUCCAGCAGGGAACAGUCCAGGUAAAGGUCAGAGGUAAUUCCUCCAACAGGGAACAGUCCAGGUAAAGGUCAGAGGUCAUUCCUCCAGCAGGGAACAGUCCAGGUAAAGGUCAGAGGUCAUUCCUCCAGCAGUGAACAGUCCAGGUAAAGGUCAGAGAUCAUUCCUCCAGCAGGGAACAGUCCAGGUAAAGGUCAGAGGUCAUUCCUCCAGCAGUGAACAGUCCAGGUAAAGGUCAGAGGUCAUUCCUCCAGCAGGGAACAGUCCAGGUAAAGGUCAGAGGUCAUUCCUCCAACAGGGAACAGUCCAGGUAAAUGUUAGAGGUCAUUCCUCCAGCAGGGAACAGUCCAGGUAAAGGUCAGAGGUCAUAAUUGUUAUAAUUGUGAUGAUUAUGGCUUACAGCUUAUGAAACCCACAAAAUCUAAAUGUCAGAAAAUUUGAAUAUUACAUGAAAUCACACUGUAGUUACACAGUAAUCCCAUGGUCAUUGAACCAGGUUUUGGUUAUUUUGGCAGUGUGGGCAGGUGAAAAUCCUGCUGAAAAUCAUCUUCAUAAAGCAUCUUCAUAAAGCUUUUCUGCUGAAGGAAGAAGGAAGUUACGGGUUUUGUGUACUGUGAUCAUCAUGGAUUAUACACGUUAUUCCCAGGUAUGUGUGGUGGCUGAGUUGUUAUAGGUCUGCGUGACUCUCGAUGUCUAAACGGAGGAAUUAUGGUAUUCUUCUGUAGCCGGACGAAUAAUUUAACUGUUGUUCAUGUGAAUUCCGAUUUGUGGGUGGCUGUUUGACCUGUCAAUUAUAGGGUAAAUCCUGACUAUUUGACGAUUUGCCUGCAUAACAGCAAGUGCACUUGUAGCUGUUAUCAGUGGCCGUAUUUGUAAGGGGGAAUGUUGCUAAUACACUGCUAAAUCAUAAAUCAGAUGUCCAGCAAUCGAUUUAAAUAGUACAUUGGGUUUAAUUAGUCGUUUAAUGAGACCUAAUAAUAAUGUUUUUUCACGUUAAUAAACACAUAGAUCUGCCUAACCUAUGUAUGACUUUAAAAAACACGGGUUACAGGUUGCCUGGAACGCAGCAUAAGUGUGUUAUGCCCGUGCAGACCUCUACACCCAGACACGGAAGAUAGCACCGUCCUCAUAUGCAUGCUCCUGGGAGCAUUUUAGGCAGAAUUGGUCACUUUUGCAUGAAAAGUUACAUUGCCACUAGAAAUAUGCUAUUCUCUCUCAGAAACGCUGUUCUGAGCUAGAUAUGCUUUAAAACAGCUAGUUUCAUCAUAUGCAUGCUCCUGGGAGCAUUUUAGGCAGAAUUGGUCACUUUUGCAUGAAAAGUUACAUUGCCACUAGAAAUAUGCUAUUCUCACUCAGAAACGCUGUUCUGAGCUAGAUAUGCUUUAAAACAGCUAGUUUCAUCAUAUGCAUGCUCCUGGGAGCAUUUUAGGCAGAAUUGGUCACUUUUGCAUGAAAAGUUACAUUGCCACUAGAAAUAUGCUUUUCUCACUCAGAAACGCUGUUCUGAGCUAGAUAUGCUUUAAAACAGCUAGUUUCAUCAUAUGCAUGCUCCUGGGAGCAUUUUAGGCAGAAUUGGUCACUUUUGCAUGAAAAGUUACAUUGCCACUAGAAAUAUGCUAUUCUCUCUCAGAAACGCUGUUCUGAGCUAGAUAUGCUUUAAAACAGCUAGUUUCAUCAUAUGCAUGCUCCUGGGAGCAUUUUAGGCAGAAUUGGUCACUUUUGCAUGAAAAGUUACAUUGCCACUAGAAAUAUGCUAUUCUCUCUCAGAAACGCUGUUCUGAGCUAGAUAUGCUUUAAAACAGCUAGUUUCAUCAUAUGCAUGCUCCUGGGAGCAUUUUAGGCAGAAUUGGUCACUUUUGCAUGAAAAGUUACAUUGCCACUAGAAAUAUGCUAUUCUCACUCAGAAACGCUGUUCUGAGCUAGAUAUGCUUUAAAACAGUUAGUUUCAUCAUAUGCAUGCUCCUGGGAGCAUUUUAGGCAGAAUUGGUCACUUUAGCAUGAAAAGUUACAUUGCCACUAGAAAUAUGCUAUUCUCUCUCAAAAACGCUGUUCUGUGCUAGAUAUGCUUUAAAACAGUUAGUUUCAUCAUAUGCAUGCUCCUGGGAGCAUUUUAGGCAGAAUUGGUCACUUUUGCAUGAAAAGUUACAUUGCCACUAGAAAUAUGCUAUUCUCACUCAGAAACGCUGUUCUGAGCUAGAUAUGCUUUAAAACAGCUAGUUUCAUCAUUUGCAUGUUCCUGGGAGCAUUUUAGUAAAUAUCCUAUAUAAAAUAUAACUCACACUGUAAAAAUUAAAUACAAUCAAAUUGGAUGUUUAAGUCAUUUCAACUUAAAUGACUUUAAACUGACUUUAAAGGAGUUGAAUCUUGUAUAAAAAUAGUUGAAAAUUGAUUAACUUAUUGUGAUGAGUUAAAGGAUUCUAAAAGCAUAUGUUGUCAUAACUUAUUGAUCACAUAUCUUUUUACAGUGCAGGGUUCGACAUUAAGCCUUUUCAUGUCCUUGUCCUUAAGUCAAGAUUCAUAGCGUAUUCAACUAAAUCGCUCAGGUAAUGUUAAUGUACGACCCAUUUCAGACGUCUUGGCUAUAGAAAUAUAUCUUCGUAUGUAGAAAAACUUUAUAUUUUCAGGGGAUCAAGCCUUAUAAACACCCCUGUAAUCUACUGGAUCCCUCUUCACAUUCAGCUUCACAUUUCCUUUCAUUAAUCCCUCUUCACAACACAAUAUUUUGUACUCAUAUUUUGUGAGGUGCUCUGGAAACAUGUAAAAAUGUGAACCGACAACACAAUGUUGUUUUCCGUUACACGACAAACCUGUUAUUCCUGCAUUUGUCAAACAGGUUUCCUGUAAAACACACUUGGUGCAGAAAUGAAAGUUAAACAGGUGCAGGACAAAUGUGUGUGUAGGAAAACUUGUCUUCUGGAACAAUAAUGGAAUGUAAAGAAGAUUAUGUUCACAUAUUUUAGUCUUGAGUGGUGUUGUUAUAAACAAAGAGGACGCAGGCCAUGACUAAUGUUGGGCGAGAACAGUUAAAGCACAUAAACACACUAAUCUGCUCAAUGAAGAACAGUUAAAGCACAUAAACACACUAAUCACUGAAGAACAGUUAAACCACAUAAACACACUAAUCUGCUGUUACACUAAUAUGAGUUGACAGAGAGAGAGUUUUCUGAAGUCAGAGUAGAAAAUGAGUGAGAGGAUCGAGAGUUUAUGGUAGGAUACAGAAACUCUAUAUAAUGAGUUCACAUCAUGUCUACAGGUUCUGAAUAACAGUGCAGAUCGUUCUAGAAAUGUUGCUGAGGGUCACAGUCAAACUCUGAUUUAGGCCCCUGUUGGAUUCUCCCGGAGAUUACUCCUUUGGCACGGUCACAUGCGUCUCAUAAUAAUAUAAAUGUAACGGUCACCAGUGAGAGUGCCCGGGAUUACCAUCAGAGGGAACUCCACAGACUCCAUUCCCCAUAAUCCUUUGCCCAGACCAUCAUCCAUUAUCACUUUCACCUGUGUCUCAUUAUCCUGUUUAGCUCACACUAUAUAAGCCUGGUUUUCUCAUUCAUUCUCUGACAAGUCUUGUUUAGUGUUUGUAUCCCGUUUCACCCGUGUCCUGGUUCUCUUGAUUCUCUGCCUGUUUCCUCGGAUUUCUCUCUUUGCCUCAGCCCUGUGUGACACCGUCACAUUAAGUUAAGUGUUCCUUUUGAAACGGCAACCUAUAUGCUUGCUUAAAGUAUUGUAUGGGUUAUAUAUAAUGUUUGUAUGAUGAAUGAUACUCAUGUGUAUUCCUUUGUAAUUUAUUUAGUUUCCACUGUGUAUUUUGGUAAUAUUGGGGAUGUCUCUUUAAUUCCUCGUUAGCCCUUAAUUUGAAGGAAGGUGCGCUCAAGCUUACUUGAGGGUGUGAAGAGAAAUCAACAGAAAGGGAGGUGUGUUGUGAAUACAUGGCGCCAUUAUUGUUUGCUGCAGCUAUGGACAUUUAAAGCUUGUUCUUUAUGGUUUGAGAGCCUUUUCAAACAAUACCUAAGAGACUGCUUUAAUGGUGGAGAGAAGGACAUAACAUAUUUUAACCACCUGGACUGUUUAUUCAUGUGCACGUCGCCGGCAAGAGGACGCGACCGAUCCCAAACUGUUUAAGUGUGUGGGUUAACAUUGCCCGACGAUCUACGUUACGGGUCUGGUGAGAUCAGCUUCAUUCUUGUAUUUUUUGGCGUGGUAUACCACUGGAUCAACACUCUACAUUGUUUUCUUUUUUUGUGGAUUACGUUUUUUUCGUUACGUUCCAAACAGAGGAUUAUUCUCACGGACUAACUUUUUCCUGGUCGGAAAGAACUGUAGCGCGCUUCUGAGCCAGCCUGAAAGUUUUCUUUAGUUUGGACUUUCAGUUUUAAUUUUGUGGACUGGGACAAAAGGGGGAAAUUGUGUGUUUGCACGGGAUAAUUGAUCCUGUAUAAUAUACCGCGCUAAGUGUGUCAUUCUAUGGAACUGUUUGAUGCGUCUUUUGUUUGAAUGGUGUUCAGCACCAUCUGAAUAUUUGUUUGUCGCUGUGAGCUUUAUUAAUUCCAUUACACCUGCUCUUAUGCAUCUUUAUCUAUUUGAGAAAACAUUGAGUCUGUGACAUUAUUGAAGCGUUGUGAUACCAGUGUGAUUACUGCUUUCAUUCCAAAGAUCCUCUUGUGCGUAUAUAUUAACACCGCCAUUUAAAAAGAACAUUAAAGGGCGAAGUGUUACAGAUGGUGGCCCGUACAGGGAAUGAAAUGCAAUUUUUGUAACUUUGCUCUAUUGUUACCAUAGUGAUGUGAAUAUUGGUUGAAGUUACUUUGUAAUUAUAUCCUGGAUCUCGCUGAA
Molecule: long non-coding RNA, 9240 nt
Organism: Carassius gibelio (silver crucian carp)
Lineage: Eukaryota; Metazoa; Chordata; Actinopteri; Cypriniformes; Cyprinidae
Exons: 2
Source: RefSeq, a predicted model, not a curated record